Long non-coding RNA from Drosophila suzukii, 975 nucleotides. RefSeq lists it as uncharacterized. Lineage: Eukaryota; Metazoa; Arthropoda; Insecta; Diptera; Drosophilidae. The record is from RefSeq and is a predicted model, not a curated record.
GAAAAGAUUAACACUUAAAAUGGACUAAAAAAUACCAAAUACAGGGCUGCAAAAUCAAAGAGUAAUAUUUCGGACUUCUGUAAGAGGUCUGUUUUUCAGCACGGUACUUAGAUUUGCUAAGGAAAUACCAGAAAAAAUACCAUAUUUCGUGAGUGAAUUCCGAUGAACUCCGUUAGCCCGGUGUGUUCGUGUAGAAGCGGUGUGGAAACAAAAAAUUAAAAAUGGAAGGAAGCCCCGAGAACGCCUGCAGGAGGUCAGUGCAGAUAAAAAAACACACCUAAUACAAGCUGUUGCCCGUUAUUAUGGGACUUGAGCCACAGAAAGCAGAACCAUAGCAGGCCAAAUCCGCAGAAUAGUGGAUGUCCUGGAGAUAAUCCAAUCGAGAAGACAAUUGAGAAGAAAAAACCACUAGUUAUACGAUCUCUGACGAGCUGUCCGUUGGCAAAUCGCUGGAUUCCACCAUCACCAGCUUCUUGGUAGCUAAUGGGGAGCUGGGGGACGCGUUGGCUUUUAUGGGGAGGAGGUAAAAAGGACGCUAAGAAAUUUUACCAGCCAUUGCCAGAAUGCUGGGCGCCUUUCUGCAGCAUCAGCGGAACAACCAGGUUCCCAAUCUGGCUCCCACUCCCUCAAGGCCCAUGUUGCCAUAUUGCGAAUCGGAGCUGGACAGCAGAUGGCGCGGGGACGAUUGCGAAGCUUCCGCGACACGAGAAGCCCUAACUUACUAAUAAUAUAAAAAAAAGCAUUCUUUGAAUUUAUUUCUUCAUUUCUUUGUGCACCAGUAGAUUCGUCUUUUCUAAAUUGGUAAAAUUUUUCGCCUGUCAAUAAAGCAAGCCCAGCUGCUUGACAGUAAGACCAUGUUACAUGCAUUGCGGGUGAACUUUUAAAACUACCGUCAAACUACAAGGCAUAUGAUUUUUCAACUAGUAAAAUUCUUUGCCGAUCUGAGUACUAGGCUGAAAUAGUAAAAUGUUGUUU